GUUAGGGACAGUGUCCAGUUCUCCUCAUGGGGUUUAUCGGUUGGAUGGGUUAGGGUUAGGUUAGGGACAGGGUCCAGCUCUCCUCCGCUUGCUGCUUGUACUUCAUGGGCUUCCGUUGUUGAAAGUGUAAACAGUGGCGCAUGCACUCUGUUGUUUUCAAAUAUCUCUCUUUCAAGGGACCUGAUGAUGAGUGAUAUGCGUCAGUCGUUGCUGCGUCGUGAUGCCCUGAGCGCCGCUAAAGAGGUGCUGUACCAUCUGGAUAUCUACCUGUCUGGGCAGGUACAGAAUAGCCCCUCCCCCUCGGUGGACACGCCCACUCUGGAACUGGUGGAGGAGUUUAUACUGCACAGGAGGAUGAGUGCGUUACAGGAGCUGCAGCUGUUGGAGAUCAUGUGCAGCUGUUUCCAGGAACAGAGUCGAGACGCUGUGAGACAACUCAUCUUCUCUGCCCUGUUCACUCUACAAGGUAACCAGGCUGACGAGAGUCGCAUGGCGUUGCUAGGCAAGCUAGUCUCCAUGGCGAUCGCUGUGGGCAGGGUCCCCAUCCUGCAGUGUGCUGCUACCUGGUUACAGCGGUCCCAUCCUGUCUACUGUAUCAGACUAGCCAGAGUGCUGGUGGAUGACUACUGUUCCCUGCUUCCUGGUUCCAUGGUUCCAACCCUCAACAACAUCAGCUGUUCCUCUCCUCCAUUCUGCUGCCAGUUCAUCACUGCUGUUACCACCCUGUAUGACCUCUCUACAGAGGAGUUGACUCCCCCUGUACAGCUGUUGCAGAUGGUGGUGUCGUGGAUCCAAGACCAGCCUCGAUUGGUCCUCAUCACUCUGCUGAACACGCCCCUCCUCCAGCCAGCCAAUUGGCUCCAUGGACCUCACGCCGCUGGCUGGGUUGGUGCGCUGGUGUGUCAAAGCCCCAUUGGCUUACAGGAGAGACGGGAAGCAGGGCCUGGCUAAUGGGACGACAGAGACGGAGCUGGAGGCAGGGCCUCUCUUCUCUGAGCUGCAUCUCAGUGUUCUGCAGGUUUGUUCA
RNA transcript from Coregonus clupeaformis (lake whitefish), 1027 nucleotides. RefSeq lists it as uncharacterized. The transcript is spliced from 7 exons. NCBI's taxonomy places the organism in Eukaryota, Metazoa, Chordata, Actinopteri, Salmoniformes, Salmonidae. The record is from RefSeq and is a predicted model, not a curated record. The annotation marks the transcript as partial.